ACGGCGACGCUUCUGUCAGCGCUCUACCAAGUCUAUAUUCGCCAAUCCAUCUUUUCCCUUCCCCAUUCCGCGACGCUGCACGCGUACGUUCUCAUUGACGUGGAAGACGAGUCGACCUUCACUUCCACAGCUAAAAGGCACCCAAUACAAGUAGUAGAGCGACGCAUACACGACGUAUACCCAAAGGUGCGUCUAAUCUUCCGUUGCCUCUGUUCUGCGCUGUUCGCUUCCGCAGGCAGUACCUGGGAGAGUCAGCACCGGCAAUUUGCGGUGCCGACGUGCCUCCGUCUACCUCCGUAUUUUCCUUCGCCUCCCUUCCCUCUCGCCACUGUGGCGCUCUGAAGGUACGCUUUUAUAUUCUCCGUUGGUUGGCUUCUUUCUCGGCUAUCGCCCUUCUCUUCUCCCGCACUGGACAGCUUUUCAUCUCUAUAGAUCGAUAUGUAUUUGCAUACCCCCUUCGCUAUCUGAUUCUUUCCCGGUGUGCGAAUUUCCGACGUGGGCGCCUCCCGGCCGGAGCGACAGUUGCAGGUGUGCCACGAAGAGCCCAAGAAAGAAGGAGAAGGAGAAGGGGAGAGUCGAUCGAAACGCCUUCGCGUGCACACACACACACACACACGCAGACUCACAACACCCGAGCACUGUCGUCUUCUGCAGCGUGAAUCAGCCAAAAGGAGACAACGUUUGGGGGCUCGAGUCUCGUGCGGGGCCACGCGUGUGCGGCGCUGCGUUAUCGUUUUUAGACCCCCACCUCCUCCCUCCUUUGUGCUAUUGUGGUCGCUUACUCGCGCCUGUGAUGUGUUUCUCACGCCCCUUCCUUUAGUUCGCCCUCUUCUCCCAUUCUGCGCUCCUUUUGGUCGGCCCAUCUCGCCCUCUCCUCAACGUAG
This 884-nucleotide unclassified non-coding RNA is filed under the name Leishmania donovani. RNAcentral describes it as "gene:unknown". Lineage: Eukaryota; Euglenozoa; Kinetoplastea; Trypanosomatida; Trypanosomatidae. The record is from RNAcentral.